AGGGCACCAACGGGAGUGGAGCCUGCCUGUUAAUUUGACUCAACAGAGCUAAACUCACCCGGCCCGGUUGCCGUCAGUGUUGACUUACUGAUAGCUCUUUCUGAAUUGGCAGGUGGGUGGUGCAUGGCCGUUCUUAGUUGGUGGAGGGAUUUGGCUGGUUGAUUCCUAUUACGAAUCAUACUUUGGCCUAUUAAAUAGCUCAGUCGUUUCGCUGCGCGAUUCUUACUUCUUACAGGGACGGCGGCGUCUAGCCGUCUGAAAUAUAGCAAUAUAACGUCUGAGAUGCCCUUAGAUGUAAGGGGCUGCACACGGGCUACACUGAAAGAAUCGCCGUGUUGCGAGAACCUAUCCCGGAAGGACCCCCCCUGACCAGUAUAUUCUUUCUCGACUGUCAUGGGGAAUUGCGAUUAUUCCCAUUAGACUAGGAAUAUCCCGGGAGUGUCCCCCUGGAAGCUCGCGUUGAUUACUCUCCUGUUCCUUUGUACACACCUUACCGGAUAUACUACCGAUUGGAUGACU
RNAcentral lists this ribosomal RNA (519 nucleotides) under uncultured eukaryote. RNAcentral describes it as "bacterial SSU rRNA". It matches the Rfam family "Eukaryotic small subunit ribosomal RNA", at positions 1161 to 1698 of the family's 1831-position model. The record is from RNAcentral.